RNAcentral lists this ribosomal RNA (610 nucleotides) under uncultured bacterium. Its description in RNAcentral is "bacterial SSU rRNA". It matches the Rfam family "Bacterial small subunit ribosomal RNA", at positions 11 to 634 of the family's 1533-position model. The record is from RNAcentral.
GUUUGAUCCUGGCUCAGGACGAACGCUGGCGGCGCGCCUAACACAUGCAAGUCGAACGAGCGAGAGAGAGCUUGCUUUCUUGAGCGAGUGGCGAACGGGCGAGUAACGCGUGAGGAACCUGCCUCAAAGAGGGGGACAACAGUUGGAAACGACUGCUAAUACCGCAUAAGCCCACAGGUCGGCAUCGACCAGAGGGAAAAGGAGCAAUCCGCUUUGAGAUGGCCUCGCGUCCGAUUAGCUAGUUGGUGAGGUAAUGGCCCACCAAGGCAACGAUCGGUAGCCGGACUGAGAGGUUGAACGGCCACAUUGGGACUGAGACACGGCCCAGACUCCUACGGGAGGCAGCAGUGGGGAAUAUUGCACAAUGGGGGAAACCCUGAUGCAGCGACGCCGCGUGGAGGAAGAAGGUCUUCGGAUUGUAAACUCCUGUUGUUGAGGAAGAUAAUGACGGUACUCAACAAGGAAGUGACGGCUAACUACGUGCCAGCAGCCGCGGUAAAACGUAGGUCACAAGCGUUGUCCGGAAUUACUGGGUGUAAAGGGAGCGCAGGCGGGAAGACAAGUUGGAAGUGAAAUCUAUGGGCUCAACCCAUAAACUGCUUUCAAAACU